GAUGAACGCUGGCGGCGUGCCUAAUACAUGCAAGUCGAGCGAACGGACGAGAAGCUUGCUUCUCUGAUGUUAGCGGCGGACGGGUGAGUAACACGUGGAUAACCUACCUAUAAGACUGGGAUAACUUCGGGAAACCGGAGCUAAUACCGGAUAAUAUUUUGAACCGCAUGGUUCAAAAGUGAAAGACGGUCUUGCUGUCACUUAUAGAUGGAUCCGCGCUGCAUUAGCUAGUUGGUAAGGUAACGGCUUACCAAGGCAACGAUGCAUAGCCGACCUGAGAGGGUGAUCGGCCACACUGGAACUGAGACACGGUCCAGACUCCUACGGGAGGCAGCAGUAGGGAAUCUUCCGCAAUGGGCGAAAGCCUGACGGAGCAACGCCGCGUGAGUGAUGAGGGUCUUCGGAUCGUAAAACUCUGUUAUUAGGGAAGAACAUAUGUGUAAGUAACUGUGCACAUCUUGACGGUACCUAAUCAGAAAGCCACGGCUAACUACGUGCCAGCAGCCGCGGUAAUACGUAGGUGGCAAGCGUUAUCCGGAAUUAUUGGGCGUAAAGCGCGCGUAGGCGGUUUUUUAAGUCUGAUGUGAAAGCCCACGGCUCAACCGUGGAGGGUCAUUGGAAACUGGAAAACUUGAGUGCAGAAGAGGAAAGUGGAAUUCCAUGUGUAGCGGUGAAAUGCGCAGAGAUAUGGAAGAACACCAGUGGCGAAGGCGACUUUCUGGUCUGUAACUGACGCUGAUGUGCGAAAGCGUGGGGAUCAAACAGGAUUAGAUACCCUGGUAGUCCACGCCGUAAACGAUGAGUGCUAAGUGUUAGGGGGUUUCCGCCCCUUAGUGCUGCAGCUAACGCAUUAAGCACUCCGCCUGGGGAGUACGACCGCAAGGUUGAAACUCAAAGGAAUUGACGGGGACCCGCACAAGCGGUGGAGCAUGUGGUUUAAUUCGAAGCAACGCGAAGAACCUUACCAAAUCUUGACAUCCUUUGACAACUCUAGAGAUAGAGCCUUCCCCUUCGGGGGACAAAGUGACAGGUGGUGCAUGGUUGUCGUCAGCUCGUGUCGUGAGAUGUUGGGUUAAGUCCCGCAACGAGCGCAACCCUUAAGCUUAGUUGCCAUCAUUAAGUUGGGCACUCUAAGUUGACUGCCGGUGACAAACCGGAGGAAGGUGGGGAUGACGUCAAAUCAUCAUGCCCCUUAUGAUUUGGGCUACACACGUGCUACAAUGGACAAUACAAAGGGCAGCGAAACCGCGAGGUCAAGCAAAUCCCAUAAAGUUGUUCUCAGUUCGGAUUGUAGUCUGCAACUCGACUACAUGAAGCUGGAAUCGCUAGUAAUCGUAGAUCAGCAUGCUACGGUGAAUACGUUCCCGGGUCU
RNAcentral lists this ribosomal RNA (1372 nucleotides) under uncultured bacterium. Its description in RNAcentral is "bacterial SSU rRNA". It matches the Rfam family "Bacterial small subunit ribosomal RNA", at positions 28 to 1381 of the family's 1533-position model. The record is from RNAcentral.